UCCGGGGUAGCUCAGUGGUCAGAGCAGUCGCCUGUUAAGCGAUUGGUCGUGAGUUCGAAUCUCACCCCCGGAG
This 73-nucleotide transfer RNA is filed under the name Patescibacteria group bacterium. RNAcentral's name for it is "tRNA-Asn". It matches the Rfam family "tRNA". Rfam says of the family: Transfer RNA (tRNA) molecules are approximately 80 nucleotides in length. Their secondary structure includes four short double-helical elements and three loops (D, anti-codon, and T loops). The record is from RNAcentral.